This 26-nucleotide non-coding RNA is filed under the name Mus musculus (house mouse). The record is from RNAcentral. Lineage: Eukaryota; Metazoa; Chordata; Mammalia; Rodentia; Muridae.
UGAUUCUUUUGGAGAAAAUAGUCUGC